Ribosomal RNA from Cercocebus atys (sooty mangabey), 115 nucleotides. NCBI's taxonomy places the organism in Eukaryota, Metazoa, Chordata, Mammalia, Primates, Cercopithecidae. The record is from Ensembl.
GUCUAUGACCAUACCACCCUGAACACACCAGAUCUCAUCUGAUCCUGGAAGCUGAGCAUGGUCUGGCCUGGUUAAUACUUGGAUGGGAGAACAGGUAAACUGCCUUGCCUGGACU